This 292-nucleotide ribosomal RNA is filed under the name uncultured bacterium. Its description in RNAcentral is "partial 16S ribosomal RNA". It matches the Rfam family "Bacterial small subunit ribosomal RNA", at positions 505 to 796 of the family's 1533-position model. The record is from RNAcentral.
GUGCCAGCAGCCGCGGUAAUACAGAGGUCCCAAGCGUUGUUCGGAUUCACUGGGCGUAAAGGGUGCGUAGGCGGCCGGGUAAGUCUGAUGUGAAAUCCCGCAGCUUAACUGCGGAACUGCAUCGGAUACUCUCCGGCUAGAGGAAUGGAGGGGAGACUGGAAUUCUCGGUGUAGCAGUGAAAUGCGUAGAUAUCGAGAGGAACACCAGUGGCGAAGGCGAGUCUCUGGACAUUUCCUAACGCUGAGGCACGAAAGCCAGGGGAGCAAACGGGAUUAGAUACCCUAGUAGUCC